Molecule: long non-coding RNA, 603 nt
Organism: Rhipicephalus microplus (southern cattle tick)
Lineage: Eukaryota; Metazoa; Arthropoda; Arachnida; Ixodida; Ixodidae
Source: RefSeq, a predicted model, not a curated record
CUCUUAUUCUGCGUAGGUAGGUAAAUAUAUAUUGAAAUAUUGAUGUAUUGUCUGCGAUGUAUAUAAAAGUCCGACUCAGACAACUCGAAAUAGGAGUUAUAUCAACUCAUUCAAGAUGACCGCAAGGAUGACAUUCGUUUUGUUGGCCUUGGUCGUAUGUACUUCACUUCUUCACGUGAAGGCGCAAUAUGGAGCAGGCAAUUCUGCGUCAGCGUACAGUUAUGGUGGCUCAAGUUGGCCCUCGUGGACUUGGCCAUCGCGACAAUAUUGCUGGAAGCGGCACGAGGAAUACAAGCAAUGUGUCAGCGGGAGCUGCGGCGAGUGGAAGUGUCCUUACCUGUACCAAGGCUGGCCUAGAGCGUGCACCACGGACUGCCAGAGCGGCUGUUUCUGUAAAGAAGGUUACUUCCGAAAUCGCCGUGGCAAUUGUGUUCUCGGAUAUAAAUGCUUCAGAGAAAUAUUGCCUGCCGUGGGAUCCUUUGCCGAGUGACACCGUUCCAUGAAUUAACCAUGACCGCAUUCUUCAAGAGCACUUCUUAUUUCUUAUAUGAAACAAAGUUAACACACAUGAAAAAAAUCAGCAAUAAAGUUUUGAUGAAGGGC